GAACGCUGGCGGCGUGCCUAAUACAUGCAAGUCGAACGCACAGCGAAGGUGCUUGCACCUUUCAAGCGAGUGGCGAACGGGUGAGUAACACGUGGACAACCUGCCUCAAGGCUGGGGAUAACAUUUGGAAACAGAUGCUAAUACCGAAUAAAACUUAGUGUCGCAUGACAUAAAGUUAAAAGGCGCUUCGGCGUCACCUAGAGAUGGAUCCGCGGUGCAUUAGUUAGUUGGUGGGGUAAAGGCCUACCAAGACAAUGAUGCAUAGCCGAGUUGAGAGACUGAUCGGCCACAUUGGGACUGAGACA
This 305-nucleotide ribosomal RNA is filed under the name Leuconostoc citreum. RNAcentral describes it as "bacterial SSU rRNA". It matches the Rfam family "Bacterial small subunit ribosomal RNA", at positions 31 to 326 of the family's 1533-position model. Lineage: Bacteria; Bacillati; Bacillota; Bacilli; Lactobacillales; Lactobacillaceae. The record is from RNAcentral.